Molecule: ribosomal RNA, 433 nt
Filed under: uncultured bacterium
Lineage: Bacteria
Description: partial 16S ribosomal RNA
Rfam family: Bacterial small subunit ribosomal RNA
Source: RNAcentral
AACGAACGCUGGCGGCAGGCUUAACACAUGCAAGUCGAGCGAGACCUUCGGGUCUAGCGGCGGACGGGUGAGUAACGCGUGGGAACGUGCCCUUCUCUACGGAAUAGCCCCGGGAAACUGGGAGUAAUACCGUAUACGCUCUUUGGGGGAAAGAUUUAUCGGAGAAGGAUCGGCCCGCGUUGGCUUAGGUAGUUGGUGGGGUAAUGGCCCACCAAGCCGACGAUCCAUAGCUGGUUUGAGAGGAUGAUCAGCCACACUGGGACGGAGACACGGCCCAGACUCCUACGGGAGGCAGCAGUGGGGAAUCUUAGACAAUGGGGGCAACCCUGAUCGAGCCAUGCCGCGUGAGUGAUGAAGGCCUUAGGGUUGUAAAGCUCUUUCAGCUGGGAAGAUAAUGACGGUACCAGCAGAAGAAGCCCCGGCUAACUCCGUG